RNAcentral lists this ribosomal RNA (1448 nucleotides) under Candidatus Pacearchaeota archaeon. Its description in RNAcentral is "bacterial SSU rRNA". It matches the Rfam family "Archaeal small subunit ribosomal RNA". The record is from RNAcentral. Lineage: Archaea; Nanobdellati.
AUUCCAGUUUAUCCUGCUGGAGAGUGCUGCUAUCAAAAUCCGGCUAAGCCAUGCAAGUUACUGUCGCAAGACAGGGCAAACUGCUGAGUAACACGUAGUCAAUCUGCCCUAGAAUUCAUAAUAACCUCGGGAAACUGAGAAUAAUAAUGAAUAGAUGAUGGUCACUGGAAUGUGUCAUCGUUUAAACUUUGGUUCUAGGAUGGGACUGCGGCUGAUUAGCUAGUUGUUGAGGUAACUACUCAACAAGGCAAUGAUCAGUAGGGGCGUUGAGAGACGGUGCCCCCAGAAGGAAUCUGAGAUACUAUUCCUAGCCCUACGGGGUGCAGCAGGCGCGGAAAUUCUCCAAUGCACGCAAGUGUGAGAGAGGGAUUUUGAGUGCUUAUCUUUUAAGAUAAGCUUUUGUCAUCUGCAAAAAAGAUGAUGAAUAAGGGUUGGGUAAGAUCGGUGCCAGCAGCCGCGGUAAUCCCGACGACCCGAGUAGCAUUCGACAUUAUUGGGUCUAAAACAUCCGUAGCUGGUUUCGCAAGUUUUGUGUUAAAUCAUUGGACUCAAUCCAAUGGCUGCGCGAAAUACUGCGAGGCUGGAGACUGGGAGAUGUAACAAGUACGUUCGAGGUAACGGUAAAAUGUUCUAAUCUCGUGCGGACUAACAAUCGGCGAAGGCAUGUUACAAGAACAGUUCUGACGGUGAGGGAUGAAAGCCAGGGGCGCAAAACGGAUUAGAUACCCGUGUAGUCCUGGCUGUAAACUCUGUAGAUUAAACAUUGUGACCUCCUCGAGAGGUUGCAGUGUUGAAGUGAAGGCGCAAAUCUACUACCUGGGGAGUACAGUCGCAAGGCCGAAACUUAAAGGAAUUGGCGGGGGAGCACUACAAGGAGUGACGCGUGCGGUUUAAUUAGAUUCUACCCCGUGAACCUUACCAGGAGCGACAGCAGAAUGAAGGUCAGUCUAAAGGGCUUACCUGACACGCUGAGAGGAGGUGCAUGGCCAUCGUCAGCCUGUGUCGUGAGAUGAUCUGUUAAAUCAGUUAACAGGCGAGACCUGCGUGUAUUGUUGCUAUCAUGUACUGAAGCACACUAUACAGACUGCUCCCGCAAGGGAGAGGAAGGUGCAGGCAACGAUAGGUGAGUACGCCCCGAAUCCCCUGGGUUACACGCGCGCGGCAAUGGCGAGAACAAUGAGUUGCAAUGCCGAAAGGCAAAGCUAAUCCCCUAAAUCUCGUCUCAGUCCAAAUUGAGGCUUGAAACUCAGCCUCAUGACGUCGGAAUUCCUAGUAAUCGGAUGUUAUCAACGUCCGGUGAAUAAUGUCCCUGCUCCUUGCACACACCGCCCAUCAAACCAUCCGAGUUUUGCUUUGUUGAUGCUAGCAAUAGAGGAAAUUUGGUAAGACAAGGAAGGUUAAGUUGUCACAAGGUAUCCGUAGGGGAACCUGCGGAUGGAUCACCUCCU